UACGGGGGGAGCAAGCGUUGUUCGGAUUUACUGGGCGUAAAGGGCGCGUAGGCGGCCAAACAAGUCACUUGUGAAAUCUCCGGGCUUAACUCGGAACGGUCAAGUGAUACUGUCUGGCUAGAGUGCGGAAGGGGCAACUGGAAUUCUCGGUGUAGCGGUGAAAUGCGUAGAUAUCGAGAGGAACACCUGCGGCGAAGGCGGGUUGCUGGGCCGACACUGACGCUGAUGCGCGAAAGCUAGGGGAGCGAACGGG
This 253-nucleotide ribosomal RNA is filed under the name uncultured bacterium. Its description in RNAcentral is "partial 16S ribosomal RNA". It matches the Rfam family "Bacterial small subunit ribosomal RNA", at positions 524 to 776 of the family's 1533-position model. The record is from RNAcentral.